GAUGAACGCUGGCGGCGUGCCUAAUACAUGCAAGUCGAGCGAACGGACGAGAAGCUUGCUUCUCUGAUGUUAGCGGCGGACGGGUGAGUAACACGUGGAUAACCUACCUAUAAGACUGGGAUAACUUCGGGAAACCGGAGCUAAUACCGGAUAAUAUUUUGAACCGCAUGGUUCAAAAGUGAAAGACGGUCUUGCUGUCACUUAUAGAUGGAUCCGCGCUGCAUUAGCUAGUUGGUAAGGUAACGGCUUACCAAGGCAACGAUGCAUAGCCGACCUGAGGGGGUGAUCGGCCACACUGGAACUGAGACACGGUCCAGACUCCUACGGGAGGCAGCAGUAGGGAAUCUUCCGCAAUGGGCGAAAGCCUGACGGAGCAACGCCGCGUGAGUGAUGAAGGUCUUCGGAUCGUAAAACUCUGUUAUUAGGGAAGAACAUAUGUGUAAGUAACUGUGCACAUCUUGACGGUACCUAAUCAGAAAGCCACGGCUAACUACGUGCCAGCAGCCGCGGUAAUACGUAGGUGGCAAGCGUUAUCCGGAAUUAUUGGGCGUAAAGCGCGCGUAGGCGGUUUUUUAAGUCUGAUGUGAAAGCCCACGGCUCAACCGUGGAGGGUCAUUGGAAACUGGAAAACUUGAGUGCAGAAGAGGAAAGUGGAAUUCCAUGUGUAGCGGUGAAAUGCGCAGAGAUAUGGAGGGACACCAGUGGCGAAGGCGACUUUCUGGUCUGUAACUGACGCUGAUGUGCGAAAGCGUGGGGAUCAAACAGGAUUAGAUACCCUGGUAGUCCACGCCGUAAACGAUGAGUGCUAAGUGUUAGGGGGUUUCCGCCCCUUAGUGCUGCAGCUAACGCAUUAAGCACUCCGCCUGGGGAGUACGACCGCAAGGUUGAAACUCAAAGGAAUUGACGGGGACCCGCACAAGCGGUGGAGCAUGUGGUUUAAUUCGAAGCAACGCGAAGAACCUUACCAAAUCUUGACAUCCUUUGACAACUCUAGAGAUAGAGCUUUCCCCUUCGGGGGACAAAGUGACAGGUGGUGCAUGGUUGUCGUCAGCUCGUGUCGUGAGAUGUUGGGUUAAGUCCCGCAACGAGCGCAACCCUUAAGCUUAGUUGCCAUCAUUAAGUUGGGCACUCUAAGUUGACUGCCGGUGACAAACCGGAGGAAGGUGGGGAUGACGUCAAAUCAUCAUGCCCCUUAUGAUUUGGGCUACACACGUGCUACAAUGGACAAUACAAAGGGCAGCGAAACCGCGAGGUCAAGCAAAUCCCAUAAAGUUGUUCUCAGUUCGGAUUGUAGUCUGCAACUCGACUACAUGAAGCUGGAAUCGCUAGUAAUCGUAGAUCAGCAUGCUACGGUGAAUACGUUCCCGGGUCU
RNAcentral lists this ribosomal RNA (1372 nucleotides) under uncultured bacterium. RNAcentral describes it as "bacterial SSU rRNA". It matches the Rfam family "Bacterial small subunit ribosomal RNA", at positions 28 to 1381 of the family's 1533-position model. The record is from RNAcentral.